CCUACGGGAGGCCGCAGUGGGGCAUAUUGGGCAAUGGAGGAAACCCUGACCCAGCAACGCCGCGUGAAUGAUGAAGUUUUUCGGAUUGUAAAGUUCUUUUCUAAGGGACGAAGUAAGGGACUGUACCUUUUGGAUGAUCCUCGGCUAACUACGGGCCAGCAGCCGCGGUAAUACGUAGGGGGCAAGCCGUAUCCGGAAUUAGUGGUCGUAAAGGGCGGGUAGGCGGGAUGGCAAGUUAGUAGCGAAACCCCAAGGCUUAACCUUGGAACUGCUUCUGAAACUAUUGAUCUAGAGUGCAGGAGAGGCAAGCGGAAUUCCUAGGGUAGCGGUGAAAUGCGUAGAUAUUAGGAGGAACACCAGUGGCGAAGGCGGUUUGCUGGACUGUAACUGACGCUGAGGCACGAAAGCGUGGGGAGCAAACAGGAUUAGAUACCCGAGUAGUC
This 443-nucleotide ribosomal RNA is filed under the name uncultured bacterium. RNAcentral describes it as "partial 16S ribosomal RNA". It matches the Rfam family "Bacterial small subunit ribosomal RNA", at positions 338 to 795 of the family's 1533-position model. The record is from RNAcentral.